AGACGCAGUCAGUAACAAAAUAUUUAUAUUUAUUUUCUUACGUAGAUUUUUAGGGACCAUGAAGUACAAAUGAGGCUUGAAUGUGGAUUUUUGUGGUAUUUGUAUUUGAAGUGUUUCUACCUAAAUAUUUCAAUGCAGAAUCAUACCUUAUUUUUGUUAUUAAAUGCAACUUCUUUACCACUCUUACAUAUGUAUUUAUGUAAGUAUUAUUCAAUGCUACGUGUAGCUAAAGUACCAAAUCAUGAAAGUGUUGGAUUGUUUACAGACUCAAGGACACUUGGAUAGUCUUCCCAGGAAAUGAGAGGUGUUCAGGAGGCAUAUGGGGUUGCUAACAUUUUAGGCACAGUAGACUGCACCCAAGUAAAAAUAUUUCCAUAACCUUUACCGCAUGGCGUACAGUUUCUAAACAGAAAAGGAAUUCAUUCGCUAAACGUUCAAUUGAAAUCUUCCAAUAAAAGGCGAACCUGAAGCGGAAAUGGAAGGGGGCGCUGCUCGAGGGAUGCAUUACAUGCAGAGAAGCGUGCCCUAUUAAUAAAUAAAUAUUUCGCCUAGUAUUAUUUUA
Long non-coding RNA from Cydia pomonella (codling moth), 562 nucleotides. RefSeq lists it as uncharacterized. NCBI's taxonomy places the organism in Eukaryota, Metazoa, Arthropoda, Insecta, Lepidoptera, Tortricidae. The record is from RefSeq and is a predicted model, not a curated record. The transcript has 2 exons.